This 2827-nucleotide long non-coding RNA is filed under the name Salvia miltiorrhiza (redroot sage). RNAcentral's name for it is "long non-coding RNA (SMIL_LNC007937)". The record is from RNAcentral. Lineage: Eukaryota; Viridiplantae; Streptophyta; Magnoliopsida; Lamiales; Lamiaceae.
UCAUUAAGUAAUUCUAUUUCAAAUCAACCCAAGUUGCAUUUUUUCUCGGGAUGAAGGGUUUCUGUUUAUACACUCGCUAAUUUUCACUCGUGGAAAACUUGUGUUGAACAUCUUUUUGUCAUUUACCAAUGUUGCAUCUUAAAUUAGUAGAUACCUAAUUGUGUUCAAGAGUAUUUUAUUACUGUCUCAGUCUAUAAAGAGUAUACUAGUACAUUUUAUUUUUUGAAUAUAAUUCUACUUUUUCUUUUAAUACUUCACCCUUGUAAAUAUUCUUUAUUUAUCCAAAUGUCAUAUUAUAGACUGUUGAUUUCUAUAUAAUAUAUUUAUAUAUAAGUUGUAUAUAUAUUUUUUUAUCUAUUAUAACUCAUUUUAAUUAAAAGAGAAUAUAGUGAAUCCGAGAAGAUAUAAACGGCGCACCUAAUUGAGAAAUAAAAUUAGGGCUCCUUAAGUUGUACACUACAUUUUAUAUUGUUUUUUUAUUAUCCUCUUUUAUAGUAUAUCUUUUUUUUUAAUUAUUUUUAUCUAUUGCUUGAAAGUUGGAUCAAUUUUUAGGCUAAUUUAAUAAUACCUGAACUUUUUCAUACAAUAACAACUAGGACGUUUAGUUUUAGGUUAUUUAAUCCAGUUAAGGUUUCAAAACUAUCAUGUUAUAAAUGGGUUAUUGAUUUCUAGAACACAUAAUAUAAGUUAUUGAGUAUUAUACAUAUUUCCUCUCAAGAGAAAAAUAUUAUACAUAAUUCAUAGAUUUUUUUUUCUAUCUAUUAUAGCUAAUUUUAUUUAUUAUAGAUAUGGUUCAAAUAUGAUAAAUGUAACAAUGAUAUAAAUUACAAACAUCAAAUAAAAUUGAAUGUUUCAUGAGUUAAUUUGUAAUUUAGAAAAAAUAUAGGUAAAAUUGAAAAAAUACAAAGAGAAUAUUGUUUUAAAUCAUGGAUUAUGAAUGCAAGUAAACCAUACAAGUUCAAUUUUAAUAAAGAUAUAUGCACAUGAUUUUAAUAUAUUUUUGGGAAAGUAGUAAUGUAAAUUAAAAUUCAUUUAAUUAUCCAGUAGACAAGUAUCACUUUUGCAUAAAAAUAAAAUUUGAAACUUAUUAUUUAAUGAUUCAUCUUCACUUACUUACAACAAUAAAAAUAAAUAAAUAAAUAAAUAAAUAAUUUUGAUUCGUAUAAAUAUAAAAAGCAUCUAAUUUGAAAAAAAAAACAAAUUAAAAAACUUGAAAUAAAUAAGGAUGGUGCAUGAAUAAUACCAUAAGAUUUUAAGACUUAUUUUUUUAUUAAUUGAAAGGUAUGAAAUUCAAAUUUAAAAAGAAACAAAUAAUUCGUGAGUUAAAUGAAAAAUGAUAGUUGUCCAAAACUGGAAAGAAAGAAAGAUGAAAGUUAUUUGGGGGAACGUCCCAAAAAUGAAAAAAGAGGAAGUUAUUUGUGGGACGGAGGGAGUAUAUAUUUGUAUGUUUGUAUAUAACUUAUUUAUUUAAAUUGAGGAUUAUUCACAGUCAUUUAAUGUAUGAAAUUGUGAAAUAAUAUUUUCACUGUUACAUACUAAAUGAAAAUUAUAAAAUAGAUAAUAAAAUAUAUUUGAUAUUUAAAAUUUAUAUUUUAGAUGAUAAACAUAUUUAGUUACAUGAUUAAAUUGUUAGCAUAUUUAUUUAUAUAGUUAAAUCGGUGUAUAUUGUUAUAUUUAAAAUAUUAUUUUAAUGAUACUAUUAAUUUACAAAACUUUGUAUUUUGGUAAUUUACCUACCUUUUGAAAUAAUACACUUAAAUUUGUGUAUUUCACGAUCAUAGAUAAUAGACUUUGUUUUAUAUAAUUUGUGUAUUUGACGUUGUAAUCGUUAUAUAUAAGAUAUAAAUUUAUUAUUUUUUUGAAUGUCGUAUUUUUUUUUCUCUUUGCGCAAAUAUUAUGCUUUUAGGAAAAAACGUUGUUCCAAACUUUUGUGUAAUUAAAUGAACCUGAUUUCUCUUAAGGUAGAAUGUUAUGUUGUGUAGUGACCAUAAGUUUCAUUGAUUAUUUCGCACAAAUAUAAUCGUGUAAUUGGAUAUCUUUCACGCUUAACUUUUUACGUAAUAAACAUGAUUUUUAUUCCAUGGGUUACGAAUUAUUGAUUAUUUCAUAGGUUGGAUUGAUUUUAGCUUGCACAUUGAUUAUUCCAUAGGUUGGUUUCAUAUUAUGUUCAUAUAUCAAUGUUUACUAAUUGUUGAUAUUUGAAACUUGAAAUUUUUUUAUUCUAUAUAAUAUUGUUUGUAUGGAACUCUAUAAAGUUGAUUUUUAUAAGAUAUUUUAUUAUUUAUUAUAUAUAUCUUGCUUUAUUUAAUAUUAUAUUAUAUUUAUAAUUAUAUUUUAUGUAUUUGUGAAUUUCGUACCCGUGCGUAUGCACGGGGUAAAAUACUAGUGUCAUAUUGAAUCACACUCACUUCAACUACAAUCAUUCAUUUUACAUNUCUGGGGCGUUGGUAGAUGUGCGUCUCUCCGGUUUUGUCAAGUAAUGAAGACGACGAGCUCCGCUAAAAGUGGACAUUUUCCUAUGCUGUAUAUCAUUAAGUAAUUCUGUUUCAAAUCAACCCAAGUUGCAUUUAUUCUCGGGAUGAAGGGUUUCUGUUUAUACACUCGCUAAUUUUCACUCGUGGAAAACUUGUGUUGAACAUCUUUUUGUCAUUUAGCAUUGUUGCAUCUUAAAUUAGUAGAUACCUAAUUGUGUUCAAGAGUAUUUUAUUACUAUCUCCGUCUAUAAAGAGUAUACUAGUACAUUUUAUUUUUUGAAUAUAAUUCUACUUUUUCUUUUAAUACUUCACCCUUGUAAAUAUUCUUUAUUUAUCCAAAUGUCAUAUUGAAU